RNAcentral lists this ribosomal RNA (460 nucleotides) under uncultured bacterium. Its description in RNAcentral is "partial 16S ribosomal RNA". It matches the Rfam family "Bacterial small subunit ribosomal RNA", at positions 338 to 795 of the family's 1533-position model. The record is from RNAcentral.
CCUACGGGAGACAGCAGUGAGGAAUAUUGGUCAAUGGGCGGAAGCCUGAACCAGCCAAGUCGCGUGAGGGAAUAAGGCCCUACGGGUCGUAAACCUCUUUUGCCGGGGAGCAAGGGCGGGGACGUGUCCCGGCCCGGAGAGGACCCGGAGAAAAAGCAGCGGCCAACUCCGUGCCGGCAGCCGCGGUAAUACGGAGGAUGGGCGCGUUAGCGGGAUUGAUGGGGUUAAAGGGGUGGGUAGGGGGGCUUUUAAGUCAGCGGUAAAAAUUCGGGGCUCAACCCCGUCCGGCCGUUGAAACUGGGGGCCUUGAGUGGGCGAGAGGCAGGCGGCAUGCGUGGUGUAGCGGUGAAAUGCAUAGAUCUCACGCAGAACCCCGAUUGCGAAGGCAGCCUUCCGGUGCCCUACUGCCGCUGAGGCACGAAAGUGCGGGUAUCGAACAGGAUUAGAUACCCCGGUAGUC